GGGUAGUAAUGAUAUUUUUAAACCUAAAGAAUUUGGCGGUACUUCAUUCUUACUAGAGGAACCUGCUCUUGAAUCGAUAUUCCACGAUUAAAUUUACAUGUUUUUGUUUUCAGUUUGUAUACCGCCGUUGUCAGAUUAUUUUUAAAAAAUAUUAUCUAGCUAGUUUAUUACUGUGACAUCAGGUCAAGGUGCAGCCGAUGAAUAUGGGAGUAGUGGGUUACAAUAAAUUAAAUUUAAUAUGGAUUAAUAUUUGUAUAAGUGUUAUGAAGGUGGAUUUAGUAGUAAGAUAAAAAUAAAAUAUUUAUAUGAAAUGAGCUCUGAA
This 322-nucleotide ribosomal RNA is filed under the name Lepidurus sp. BV-2012. RNAcentral's name for it is "partial 12S ribosomal RNA". The record is from RNAcentral. Lineage: Eukaryota; Metazoa; Arthropoda; Branchiopoda; Notostraca; Triopsidae.